This is a long non-coding RNA of Cervus elaphus (red deer), 843 nucleotides long. RefSeq lists it as uncharacterized. The record is from RefSeq and is a predicted model, not a curated record. The transcript is spliced from 3 exons. NCBI's taxonomy places the organism in Eukaryota, Metazoa, Chordata, Mammalia, Artiodactyla, Cervidae.
UUGUAGGCUCUGCCAAGAGGCAAAUGCACAGUGAAUUUCAGAUAAGAGAAGACUUUGGAUUUCAGCCCAAAAGUGAUACUCGGGAGGUGUGUGUGUGUCUUUCUGAGUGAAAGAGAGCAGACACGCAAGUAUGUGUGUGUGUGUGAGACAGAGAGAGAGAGAGAGUUAGGGAGGCAAGAAAGAUGACAAGAAGCAGAUGAAGAAACACUGACAAGUGAAUGCUACUCCUCUUCCUGAUUUUUCUCCCGCAUCUUCUCAGUCACCUCAGUAGGACAGCAUCUCCCAAGAUAACGGCAAACAUCUGUGUUGGUACUGGCUCUGUCUGUGAAAGAACUGACCCGGAGGAGUUCUUAUUGAUAAAGGAACCGCACUAGUGGGAAGAAUAGCAGAGGGAUAUGAUGGUGAACUCUUAUCAAAGGUCACACAUGUCAUCACUCAAGGUACCAACUUAUUGCUGACCAUGGAGAAUCUCUAGAACAUGAAACAUAUCAAGACUGGUAGCAAAGUGGUAAAGAGUCCGCCUACCAAGACAGGAGAUGCAAUGGACACACGUUCAAUCCCCGGGUUGGGAAGAUUCCUGAGAGAAGGAAAUGGCAACACACUCCAGUAUUCUUAUCUGGAAAAUUCCAUAGAUGGAGGAGCCUAGUGGGCUACAGUCCAUGGUGUAGCAACGAGUUGAACACUACUGAACAACUGUUCAGCAUCAGCCUCUUUAGCAAGACCACGCCUGUUUAAGAUAGAUGCGCCAAGCUAUCUUAACCUAAUAUCAAAAUAGUAUCAUGUGUAUAACUUGAUUUUUAAAACUUUUCAAUCAAAAAGUACAUAAAAUAAACAUCUAGUAAA